Small nucleolar RNA from Ziziphus jujuba (common jujube), 92 nucleotides. RefSeq annotates it as small nucleolar RNA snoR26. NCBI's taxonomy places the organism in Eukaryota, Viridiplantae, Streptophyta, Magnoliopsida, Rosales, Rhamnaceae. The transcript has a single exon. The record is from RefSeq and is a predicted model, not a curated record.
GGAGCAUCAUUGAUGAGUUUACUAGGUAGUUAUCCUUACACUUUGAUUGCCUAUGAAGAAAAUCCAUGGGGAAAAUUGUCUCUGCGGUGCUU